This 834-nucleotide ribosomal RNA is filed under the name uncultured bacterium. RNAcentral's name for it is "bacterial SSU rRNA". It matches the Rfam family "Bacterial small subunit ribosomal RNA", at positions 69 to 899 of the family's 1533-position model. The record is from RNAcentral.
GUAACAGGGAGUGCUUGCACUUUGCUGACGACCGGCGCACGGGUGCGUAACGCGUAUAGAACCUACCUUUUACUGGAGAAUAGCCCAGAGAAAUUUGGAUUAAUGCUCCAUAGUAUCAUUUUUUGGCAUCAUUAGAUGAUUAAAGAUUUAUCGGUAAAAGAUGGCUAUGCGUUCUAUUAGCUAGUUGGUAUGGUAACGGCAUACCAAGGCGACGAUAGAUAGGGGUCCUGAGAGGGAGAUCCCCCACACUGGUACUGAGACACGGACCAGACUCCUACGGGAGGCAGCAGUGAGGAAUAUUGGACAAUGGAGGCAACUCUGAUCCAGCCAUGCCGCGUGUAGGAAGACUGCCCUAUGGGUUGUAAACUACUUUUAUAGAGGAAGAAACCGCUCUACGUGUAGAGCUCUGACGGUACUCUACGAAUAAGGAUCGGCUAACUCCGUGCCAGCAGCCGCGGUAAUACGGAGGAUCCAAGCGUUAUCCGGAAUCAUUGGGUUUAAAGGGUCCGUAGGCGGGUUUGUAAGUCAGUGGUGAAAAUUUUCGGCUCAACCGGAAAAUUGCCAUUGAUACUGCAAGUCUUGAAUCGUUGUGAAGUGGUUAGAAUGUGUAGUGUAGCGGUGAAAUGCAUAGAUAUUACACAGAAUACCGAUUGCGAAGGCAGAUCACUAACAAUGUAUUGACGCUAAGGGACGAAAGCGUGGGUAGCGAACAGGAUUAGAUACCCUGGUAGUCCACGCCGUAAACGAUGGUUACUAGCUGUUCGGAUUUCGGUCUGAGUGGCUAAGCGAAAGUGAUAAGUAACCCACCUGGGGAGUACGUUCGCAAGAAUGAAA